CCGGCGCACGGGUGAGUAACACGUAUCCAACCUGCCGUCUACUCUUGGACAGCCUUCUGAAAGGAAGAUUAAUACAAGAUGGCAUCAUGAGUCCACAUGUUCACAUGAUUAAAGGUAUUCCGGUAGACGAUGGGGAUGCGUUCCAUUAGAUAGUAGGCGGGGUAACGGCCCACCUAGUCUUCGAUGGAUAGGGGUUCUGAGAGGAAGGUCCCCCACAUUGGAACUGAGACACGGUCCAA
RNAcentral lists this ribosomal RNA (239 nucleotides) under uncultured bacterium. RNAcentral describes it as "partial 16S ribosomal RNA". It matches the Rfam family "Bacterial small subunit ribosomal RNA", at positions 95 to 334 of the family's 1533-position model. The record is from RNAcentral.